Molecule: long non-coding RNA, 628 nt
Organism: Cyprinus carpio (common carp)
Lineage: Eukaryota; Metazoa; Chordata; Actinopteri; Cypriniformes; Cyprinidae
Exons: 3
Source: RefSeq, a predicted model, not a curated record
UAACGACUGAUGAACAGCUUCUUUAACUGUACACCAGUCAUCAUCAUCCAGCUGUUGUGGAGUAACAUCUGUCAUAUGUUCGACAUAACUGAUUUCCACUAAAAUAUAACAAGAAAAUCACAUACUGUAUAAUGUAAAUAUGACAGAUUUUACCCUCAGAUAAAGCACACGCAGACGUUAAGUCCAGCACAUUGCUGAAUAUCAAUGAGUGAGGGGGGAAAACAGGCGUUAAUAAAAGGAUGAUUGUUGCCGCUGGCUGGAGUAGGCAGAGGCAUGGAUGGAAUUGUGCCCCUAUUUCAAUGCAUCUAUUGCACAUCAGCUGUAAGGGGUUGUAGCACAUUCCCAAGGGCUAAUUCUCUGGAUUUGUCUAUAGGAUCCAGUGGACAUAAAGAGCAGCGCAGAGCCUGAGCCAGAGCCGGAGCCGGAGGCAGCAGCUCUCGAACCCAGUCCUGUGGAAGCCGCAGAAGAAAACAACCCGUCAGAGGAGGUCAAAGCAACAGAAAAGACAGUUAUGAACUUUUUCAAAACAUUUGUCACUCCGACCAAAACAAGCAAAGAAGCCAAAGCCACUCCAGAUGCUUCAAAAGAGCAGGUACAGGAAGCACCCAAGGCACCUCCUCCUCCUCCC